AAUUAUUUAUCUUUUCAUAGUACUUUUAAAAUCAGUGAUUUGGGGAGAAGGAUAUUGAGUAUCUAAAAGUCUUUUUUUUUUUUUUUUUUUUUUUUUUUUUUUUUUUUUUUUUUUUUUUUUUUUUUUUUUUUUUAUUUCUUUUUUUUUUUUUUUUUUUUUAGUAUUGGCAAAUUCUUGGGAAGUGUGAGAAAUCUAUUUCACAAAGCUAUACUUUUCUCCAAUGUUUAAACAGCUUGUGUGCUUAGCUGGUGCAAUUAGAUCAGAGACAGCUACGGAAGGAAGAAGUUUAGAGUGGCUCAAUCAAAUCAUGAAACUAGGCAAGUGGAAAAUUGCAUUUUGUUGCUUUGAAUUAGAUCUGAGAAGAGGAAAAAAAAUGGGUAAAGAGUGUGCGCUUCUGUCAGGGCAAUGACUCCAGGGCAGAAGAGGCUGAAACAAAGGACCAAUGCAGGGAGGAAAAAAAAUUGCCCAACUCCUUCCAGGGAAUGUAGAUGAAAACAUAUAGACACAAUUGGGAGAAAAUUUGGGGCAGGUAAGCCUGUGACUUUCUAGUCCUUUCUGCUUUCCAUAUACAUGUUAAAAGGUUACAUGGAGGAUUGCUGGAUGCCAAGAAAAGCUUUUAU
RNAcentral lists this long non-coding RNA (620 nucleotides) under Pan troglodytes (chimpanzee). RNAcentral describes it as "lncRNA (ENSPTRG00000053815.1)". Lineage: Eukaryota; Metazoa; Chordata; Mammalia; Primates; Hominidae. The record is from RNAcentral.